RNAcentral lists this long non-coding RNA (438 nucleotides) under Dromaius novaehollandiae (emu). RNAcentral's name for it is "lncRNA (ENSDNVG00000009844.1)". Lineage: Eukaryota; Metazoa; Chordata; Aves; Casuariiformes; Dromaiidae. The record is from RNAcentral.
CGGAGCGAAAAGUAGAGAGCGCUUGCUGGUACUAGAUUUUUACCCUUCGGUUAAUACUGCAUCACGGUUGCUGUCAUAAUGACCUUCAUCUGGGCAAAGCAGCUGGAGAGUCAAAUUAUAGUGAGACUGCACAAAAAGAUCGGAGCAAGAAAAUGCCAAGUAUUCCUCCCUCACUUUCUUGCCAGGAGCAUUGGCCCAGUGCUUUGCGACACUGCACAGAAAGUUUAACUUCGUGAUUCUCAUUGUACUACCAAAAAUAGUCAUAUGAAAAUCUGACAGAACUUCCUAAGAAGAAUGCAUUUGUUUCCUUUAGAGAUGGCAUCUUCCAGGGCACCAGAGCUAUAAUACAAAUUAAAGUCUUAACAGCGUAAUGGUGUUAAAUCUACUUGUCUUGUGUUGCAACUCUUUUCUAGAUAAAGUCACUCAGUGUACCUUCCC